RNAcentral lists this ribosomal RNA (122 nucleotides) under Candidatus Bathyarchaeota archaeon. The record is from RNAcentral. Lineage: Archaea; Thermoproteati; Candidatus Bathyarchaeota.
GUUGGCGGCCAUAGGUGGGAGCUAGGACCCGUACCCGUUCCGAACACGGAAGUGAAUCUCCCAUGCGAUCUCUGUGGUAGUGUGGUGCUAACGCCCACGCGAAGCUUAGACCGCUGCCAACC